GAUGAACGCUAGCGAUAGGCUUAACACAUGCAAGUCGAGGGGCAGCAUUAUUUUAGCUUGCUAAGAUAGAUGGCGACCGGCGCACGGGUGCGUAACGCGUAUGCAACCUGCCUGUAAUUAGGGAAUAACCCGGUGAAAGUCGGACUAAUACCCUAUAUUCUUCUUUCUCCGCAUGGAGGAGGACGGAAAGAUUUAUUGAUUACAGAUGGGCAUGCGUCCCAUUAGCUAGUUGGUAAGGUAACGGCUUACCAAGGCAACGAUGGGUAGGGGGACUGAGAGGUUGACCCCCCACACUGGUACUGAGACACGGACCAGACUCCUACGGGAGGCAGCAGUGAGGAAUAUUGGUCAAUGGGCGAGAGCCUGAACCAGCCAAGUCGCGUGAAGGACGACGGUUCUAUGGAUUGUAAACUUCUUUUGUAGAGGAAUAAUGGCAGCUACGUGUAGCUGAGAUGCAUGUACUCUACGAAUAAGUAUCGGCUAACUCCGUGCCAGCAGCCGCGGUAAUACGGAGGAUACGAGCGUUAUCCGGAAUUAUUGGGUUUAAAGGGUGCGUAGGUGGCGUAUUAAGUCAGUGGUGAAAAGCUGCAGCUCAACUGUAGUCUUGCCGUUGAAACUGAUAUGCUAGAGAGGAGACGAGGUAUGCGGAAUGUGUGGUGUAGCGGUGAAAUGCAUAGAUAUCACACAGAACGCUGAUUGCGAAGGCAGCGUACCAGGCUCCGUCUGACACUGAAGCACGAAAGCGUGGGGAUCAAACAGG
This 760-nucleotide ribosomal RNA is filed under the name Porphyromonas endodontalis. RNAcentral's name for it is "bacterial SSU rRNA". It matches the Rfam family "Bacterial small subunit ribosomal RNA", at positions 28 to 776 of the family's 1533-position model. Lineage: Bacteria; Pseudomonadati; Bacteroidota; Bacteroidia; Bacteroidales; Porphyromonadaceae. The record is from RNAcentral.